RNAcentral lists this ribosomal RNA (253 nucleotides) under uncultured bacterium. RNAcentral describes it as "partial 16S ribosomal RNA". It matches the Rfam family "Bacterial small subunit ribosomal RNA", at positions 524 to 776 of the family's 1533-position model. The record is from RNAcentral.
UACGUAGGGUGCAGGCGUUAAUCGGAAUUACUGGGCGUAAAGCGUGCGCAGGCGGUUUCUUAAGUCAGAUGUGAAAGCCCCGGGCUUAACCUGGGAACCGCAUUUGUGACUGCAUAGCUGGAGUACGGCAGAGGGGGAUGGAAUUCCGCGUGUAGCAGUGAAAUGCGUAGAUAUGCGGAGGAACACCGAUGGCGAAGGCAGUCCCCUGGGCCUGUACUGACGCUCAUGCACGAAAGCGUGGGGAGCAAACAGG